UACGAAGGGUGCAAGCGUUAAUCGGAAUUACUGGGCGUAAAGCGCGCGUAGGUGGUUCAGUAAGUUGGAAGUGAAAUCCCCGGGCUCAACCUGGGAACUGCUUUCAAAACUGCUGAGCUAGAAUACGGUAGAGGGUGGUGGAAUUUCCUGUGUAGCGGUGAAAUGCGUAGAUAUAGGAAGGAACACCAGUGGCGAAGGCGACCACCUGGACUGAUACUGACACUGAGGUGCGAAAGCGUGGGGAGCAAACAGG
RNAcentral lists this ribosomal RNA (253 nucleotides) under uncultured bacterium. RNAcentral describes it as "partial 16S ribosomal RNA". It matches the Rfam family "Bacterial small subunit ribosomal RNA", at positions 524 to 776 of the family's 1533-position model. The record is from RNAcentral.